Molecule: ribosomal RNA, 1275 nt
Filed under: Triticum aestivum (bread wheat)
Lineage: Eukaryota; Viridiplantae; Streptophyta; Magnoliopsida; Poales; Poaceae
Description: partial small subunit ribosomal RNA
Source: RNAcentral
AUGGCGCUCCAUCUCGCGCGACCGUUCCUGCCCGCCGGCCUCCCGCCGCCGGCGCGCCGCCGCGCUCGUGCCCGGGCGCAUCCCCUCUCCCCCACCGCCGACGCGCGGUCCCCGUCCUUCAGGAGGCCCUACACGUCCGUCCUGGUGGUGCCCACGGGGGUCGGCGCCGCGGUCGGGGGCUUCGCCGGCGACGCCCUCCCCGUGGCACGCGCCCUCGCCGCCGUCGCCGACUGCGUCAUCUCCCAUCCCAACGUGCUCAACGCCGCGAUGCUGUACUGGCCGAUGCAGAAUACGCUUUACGUCGAGGGAUACGCCCUCGACAGGUUCGCCGAAGGCGCCUGGGCUCUUCAGCCAGUCCACCAGAACAAGGUAGGCUUGGUGUUGGACUCCGGGAUCGAGGAGGAGCUCCGGCUCCGCCAUUUGCAGGUCGCCGAUGCGGCGAGGGCUUCGCUCGGCCUCCCUGUUGUGGAGUACGCUGUCACGGAUGCUCCUUUAGAGAUCAAGACCUGGUUCGAUCCGAAGUGUGGGAAAUCAACCGGGAGUGUCGGGAACUCCGAUUCCCUGUUAAGAGCGGUCGACGCGCUAGUGAACCAGGCAGGCGUGAAUGCUGUGGCUGUUGUCGCGCGCUUCCCAGACGACGACCCUGAAGAUUCAGAUUGCUAUAGGGAAGGAAAGGGAGUUGAUCUGUUAGCCGGAGUUGAAGCAAUCAUCAGUCACCUAAUUGUGAAAGAAUUCAAAAUCCCUGCUGCUCACGCUCCUGCGGUGUUGCCCCUGCCACUCAGCCCAUCAGUGUCCCCACGAUCUGCUGCUGAAGAGAUUGGUUAUACCUUUCUACCAUGUGUGCUCGCUGGUUUAAGCACCGCUCCUCAGUAUGUGACGAGGAGGCAGGGUACCUUGGACAGUGGUUGCAUAGUGGCUAGUGAUGUUGAUAGUGUGAUUCUUCCAAGAGAUGCCUGUGGAGGUGAUGGUGCUCUUGCCUUUUCUCGAACUGCAAGAAAGAACAAGCCCUUAAUCAUUACCGUUCAGGAAAAUGAGACGGUGCUCGAUGACACCCCUGAUAAAUUCAAUAUUGAAGCGCUGAAUGUCCAGAACUACUGGGAAGCAAUUGGAGUUAUUGCUGCUCACAAGGCAGGCAUCAAUCCAAAUGCUCUCAGAAAACAAGGAAUUGACCAUCUUAAGAGCCAUCGACGAUUGUACUCUGCCCGAUCUUCUGGUCCUAGGCCAUACGCCUCUUCUGCAACGCAGGAUAAAGUAUAUGUACACCAGUUAGUUUGA